Molecule: ribosomal RNA, 253 nt
Filed under: uncultured bacterium
Lineage: Bacteria
Description: partial 16S ribosomal RNA
Rfam family: Bacterial small subunit ribosomal RNA
Source: RNAcentral
UACGAAGGAUUCGAGCGUUAUCCGGAUUUAUUGGGCGUAAAGAGCGUGUAGGCGGCCAGGUAGGUCUGGUGUGAAAACUCGAGGCUUAACCUCGAGAUGUCAUCGGAAACCAUCUGGCUAGAGUCCGGAAGAGGAGAGUGGAAUUCCUGGUGUAGCGGUGAAAUGCGCAGAUAUCAGGAAGAACACCAAUGGCGAAAGCAGCUCUCUGGGACGGUACUGACGCUGAGACGCGAAAGCGUGGGGAGCGAACAGG